RNAcentral lists this ribosomal RNA (751 nucleotides) under uncultured Glomus. Its description in RNAcentral is "SSU rRNA". It matches the Rfam family "Eukaryotic small subunit ribosomal RNA", at positions 339 to 1092 of the family's 1831-position model. The record is from RNAcentral. Lineage: Eukaryota; Fungi; Glomeromycota; Glomeromycetes; Glomerales; Glomeraceae.
GCCUACCAUGGUGGUAACGGGUAACGGGGUGUUAGGGCACGACACCGGAGAGGGAGCCUGAGAAACGGCUACCACAUCCAAGGAUGGCAGCAGGCGCGCAAAUUACCCAAUCCCGACACGGGGAGGUAGUGACAAUAAAUAACAAUACGGGGUUCUUUCGGAUCUCGUAAUUGGAAUGAGUACAAUUUAAAUCUCUUAACGAGGAACAAUUGGAGGGCAAGUCUGGUGCCAGCAGCCGCGGUAAUUCCAGCUCCAAUAGCGUAUAUUAAAGUUGUUGCAGUUAAAAAGCUCGUAGUUGAAUUUCGGGAUCAAUAUGUUGGUCGUGCCUUGGUACGUACUGGCAUUAUUGGUUUCUACCUUCUGAAGAAUCUCGAUGUCAUUAAUUUGGUGUCUUGGGGAAUCAGGACUGUUACUUUGAAAAAAUUAGAGUGUUUAAAGCAGGCUCACGCUUGAAUACAUUAGCAUGGAAUAAUGAAAUAGGACGUUUGAUUCUAUUUUGUUGGUUUCUAGGAUCGACGUAAUGAUUAAUAGGGAUAGUUGGGGGCAUUAGUAUUCAAUUGUCAGAGGUGAAAUUCUUGGAUUUAUUGAAGACUAACUACUGCGAAAGCAUUUGCCAAGGAUGUUUUCAUUAAUCAAGAACGAAAGUUAGGGGAUCGAAGACGAUCAGAUACCGUCGUAGUCUUAACCAUAAACUAUGCCGACUAGGGAUCGGAUGAUGUUAAUUUUUUAAUGACUUAUUCGGCGCCUUACG